CCUACGGGAGGCAGCAGCCGCGGUAAUAUUGCGCAAUGGAGGAAACUCUGACGCAGUGACGCCGCGUAUAGGAUGAAGGUUUUCGGAUUGUAAACUAUUGUCAUUAGGGAAGAUAAAAGACAGUACCUAAGGAGGAAGCUCCGGCUAACUACGUGCCAGCAGCCGCGGUAAU
RNAcentral lists this ribosomal RNA (172 nucleotides) under uncultured rumen bacterium. RNAcentral's name for it is "partial 16S ribosomal RNA". It matches the Rfam family "Bacterial small subunit ribosomal RNA", at positions 338 to 524 of the family's 1533-position model. The record is from RNAcentral.